CAGGAAAAAUUUUUACUGGCGUAUACACUAUAAACGCCAGGAAAGUUAAUUUCCCGGCACCGGAUUCCCGGCGUUUGAUAAACGCCAAAAUUUAAACGCCAGGAAGGUCUUCCUGGCGUUUAAAUGGUGUUUCCUGGCGUUUAAAAAAUGCCAGGAAAACUCGUUUUUUUUGUAGUGAAUUAACAAACUCCUUAUUAGUUUUACUUUAACUAUUAUCAGACUUCCUCCUUACAUUCCAAGAGCCAAAAUUUACUCCCUACUUAUUUUUUUAAUGUUAUUUUCUCUCUCUCUUUCAUUUGGUUUUAGCAUGCAUAUUCUCUAUCUCUCUUAUUGGUUCAAACUAAUAAAAAAAUAAUAUUUCACUAAAGUAGGGAAAAAUAUAAAGAGUUUGAUGUUUGGUUAUUUUUAAAAGUAGCUCUUUAAAUUUGAAAAAGUGAACUUUUCUCCUCAAAUUUAGCUUUUAUUUGAGGAGCCCAUUGUAAAUGCUUUAAACUAUAAAAAUACAAAGGGAACCAAAAGUUGUUCACUUCAUCUAGAGAACUAAAAGUGGUUUAUUUAGCAUUAGUUUAAUAUAAAAGUCUUUCUCUUUCAUCUCUUUUUCCUCUAGCAUUUAUUUUAAAUAAUUUUUAAUUGGCGUUCUCUUUUAUCUCUUUUCUUUUAACAUUUAAUUUUAAGAAUAUUUAAAUAUUUUUAGAAAAUGAUAAAGAAAGCUGCUAUAGAGGUUAUUUAAAUAGGAAAACAAAAAAUAGUUUAAUUUUUUUCAUUGAAAAAAAGUUUAAAGAAAACUGUUACUAGUGCUGUAAUAGAGAUAAACUACUUUGAUAUAAUUUUUUGGAUACUUCAUUCAAUGAGAAUACUGAAUAUAAAUACAUAUGAGCCGUGAUAUACAUUAGCUUAGGCUGAAUGAACAGCAAUUCAGUCCAGGCUGGAUUGGAUUAAAAAAAAAUAUAUAUAUUUUUUAAUAAUAAAGUUCACAAAAAUACUGUUCAUUAGACCUGGACUGAAUGACUAUUCAUUCGGUCCAGGCUGAUGUAUAUCUUUACUCAAAUACAUAUAGGUAGACCCAAUAGUUGACUCACUACAUUUCAAAAAAAAAAAAAAUUGUUUCUCAUGACUAACCUACGAC
RNAcentral lists this non-coding RNA (1126 nucleotides) under Betula luminifera. Lineage: Eukaryota; Viridiplantae; Streptophyta; Magnoliopsida; Fagales; Betulaceae. The record is from RNAcentral.